AGGUUGUGUGUAUCAACACUGCAGUGGUGUCAACGAAAUAUCUCAACAGCUUCUAUACCACUCUUCUUCAGAUUAACACAGGAUCUUAGCCUCAACUCCAUCCACAUCUUCAACUCCAUCCCGACUGUCAACUCCAUCCAGAGCAUCAACCUCAAGCUGAUGUUCAUCCCCAGACUCCCCUGAUAAAGAACUUCUUACUUCAACAUCACCUCAGAAACAGAAUGAGUGAGCGAGUGAGGCAGCAGCUGUGUGUGAGGAAGAGAAAACGAAAAUGGGAAGCCUGUUACCAUGACAACGGGGAGGUAGACGACCUUGAGGGGUUGCGCACCCACCAUCACAACAAUAACAACUCCGGAGCCUUCGCCUGGGCCACACGACACUCGCAGCUCACUUGCACCGUCUGCGCCUGUCUGCUGAUCCCUAUUGCAUUUCCUGCUCCGCUGCCCAUG
Molecule: long non-coding RNA, 449 nt
Organism: Portunus trituberculatus (swimming crab)
Lineage: Eukaryota; Metazoa; Arthropoda; Malacostraca; Decapoda; Portunidae
Exons: 3
Source: RefSeq, a predicted model, not a curated record